GUAGGUGGCAAGCGUUGUCCGGAAUUAUUGGGCGUAAAGCGCGCGCAGGCGGUUCUUUAAGUCUGAUGUGAAAGCCCACGGCUCAACCGUGGAGGGUCAUUGGAAACUGGAGAACUUGAGUACAGACGAGGAAAGCGGAAUUCCACGUGUAGCGGUGAAAUGCGUAGAGAUGUGGAGGAACACCAGUGGCGAAGGCGGCUUUCUGGUCUGUAACUGACGCUGAGGCGCGAAAGCGUGGGGAGCAAACAGGAUUAGAUACCCUGGUAGUCCACGCCGUAAACGAUGAGUGCUAAGUGUUAGGGGGUUUCCGCCCCCUUAGUGCUGCAGCUAACGCAUUAAGCACUCCGCCUGGGAGUACGGCCGCAAGGCUG
RNAcentral lists this ribosomal RNA (371 nucleotides) under uncultured organism. RNAcentral's name for it is "partial 16S ribosomal RNA". It matches the Rfam family "Bacterial small subunit ribosomal RNA", at positions 527 to 896 of the family's 1533-position model. The record is from RNAcentral.